Molecule: ribosomal RNA, 394 nt
Filed under: uncultured eukaryote
Lineage: Eukaryota
Description: partial 18S ribosomal RNA
Rfam family: Eukaryotic small subunit ribosomal RNA
Source: RNAcentral
CAAUAGCGUAUAUUAAAGUUGUUGCAGUUAAAAAGCUCGUAGUUGGAUUUCUGUGCUGGACGUCCGGUCGGCGCCCUCUGGGCGGUUUGUACUUGUGGACGUUGGGCGCAUUUUUUGUGAGGUCGCAGUUCUGCCAUUAAGUUGGUGGUUUUGCGGGCUUGCAUCGUUUACUGUGAAAAAAUUAGAGUGUUUAAAGCAGGCGUUUGCUCAUUUGAAUACAUUAGCAUGGAAUAAUAAGAUACGGCCUUGGUGGUCUAUUUUGUUGGUUUGCACACCAGGGUAAUGAUUAAUAGGGACAGUUGGGGGUAUUCAUAUUUCAGCGUCAGAGGUGAAAUUCUUGGAUCGCUGAAAGAUGAGCUUAGGCGAAAGCAUUUACCAAGGAUGUUUUCAUUAA